GCCGGGCAUGGUAGUGCAUGCCUGUAAUCCAGUGGCUUGGGAGGCUGAGGCAAGAGGAUUGCAAGUUCAAAUCCACCCUCAGCAACUUAGCAAGGGCCUAAGCAACUUAGUGAGACCCUGUCUUAA
Molecule: small RNA, 126 nt
Filed under: Marmota monax (woodchuck)
Lineage: Eukaryota; Metazoa; Chordata; Mammalia; Rodentia; Sciuridae
Source: RNAcentral